AUUGGUAUCGACAGGAAAGUAUGUCGGAUAGUUUGCAUGCCGGAGCACGAUUGUUCACUCCGUAAUAAAUGGCAAUCGACAACAAGUGGCAAUAGCUACGCUCUUGCUGCGUAAGUAGUACCAGGUAUUAUUUACCAGCUGUACGUGAUGCCGGCGCUACGUGCGCCCUCGCUCUAGCCUGACGAGCCCCGCAUUCGUACAUCAUCUAAAUUCAGGCUGGGAAACCGGAUUGGCCCGGUUCGGUUUCCGAGACUCCGGGCUGGGAGGAAGACACGGCUGCGUAACCCCAGCUACCCUUUCGCCGAGACAACAAACGGGUUACUAAGCAUGUAGAGGGCUGUUCGUCGCUUUGUCUGGACGCGAGUUCGACUCAGA
RNAcentral lists this transfer-messenger RNA (375 nucleotides) under Saprospirales bacterium. It matches the Rfam family "transfer-messenger RNA". From Rfam's summary of the family: Bacterial tmRNA, also known as 10Sa RNA or SsrA, is named for its dual tRNA and mRNA-like properties. Its role is to liberate the mRNA from a stalled ribosome. Lineage: Bacteria; Pseudomonadati; Bacteroidota; Saprospiria; Saprospirales. The record is from RNAcentral.